UGCAAGUCGAACGAGAUUAAGGGGCUUGCUCCUUAUGAAAGUGGCGCACGGGUGCGUAACGCGUAUGCAACCUACCUUGAUCAGGGGGAUAGCCCGAAGAAAUUCGGAUUAACACCGCAUAACAACAUGGGAUAGCAUUAUUCUAUGUUCAAAUAUUUAUAGGAUCAAGAUGGGCAUGCGUGUCAUUAGCUAGUUGGCGGGGUAACGGCCCACCAAGGCGACGAUGACUGGGGGAUCUGAGAGGAUGGCCCCCCACACUGGUACUGAGACACGGACCAGACUCCUACGGGAGGCAGCAGUAAGGAAUAUUGGUCAAUGGAGGGAACUCUGAACCAGCCAUGCCGCGUGCAGGAAGACGGCCCUCUGGGUUGUAAACUGCUUUUAUUCGGGAAUAAACCACAUUACGUGUAGUGUGCUGAAUGUACCGAAGGAAUAAGGAUCGGCUAACUCCGUGCCAGCAGCCGCGGUAAUACGGAGGAUCCAAGCGUUAUCCGGAUUUAUUGGGUUUAAAGGGUGCGUAGGCGGCUUAUUAAGUCAGGGGUGAAAGACGGUGGCUCAACCAUCGCAGUGCCCUUGAUACUGAUGAGCCUGAAUGGACUAGAGGUAGGCGGAAUGUGACAAGUAGCGGUGAAAUGCAUAGAUAUGUCACAGAACACCGAUUGCGAAGGCAGCUUACUAUGGUUUAAUUGACGCUGAGGCA
Molecule: ribosomal RNA, 700 nt
Filed under: uncultured bacterium
Lineage: Bacteria
Description: bacterial SSU rRNA
Rfam family: Bacterial small subunit ribosomal RNA
Source: RNAcentral